GACGAACGCUGGCGGCGUGCCUAAUACAUGCAAGUAGAACGCACAGUUUAUACCGUAGCUUGCUACACCAUAAACUGUGAGUUGCGAACGGGUGAGUAACGCGUAGGUAACCUGCCUGGUAGCGGGGGAUAACUAUUGGAAACGAUAGCUAAUACCGCAUAAUAUUAAUUAUUGCAUGAUAAUUGAUUGAAAGAUGCAAUUGCAUCACUACCAGAUGGACCUGCGUUGUAUUAGCUAGUAGGUGAGGUAACGGCUCACCUAGGCGACGAUACAUAGCCGACCUGAUAGGGUGAUCGGCCACCCUGGGACUGAGACACGGCCCAGACUCCUACGGGAGGCAGCAGUAGGGAAUCUUCGGCAAUGGACGAAAGUCUGACCGAGCAACGCCGCGUGAGUGAAGAAGGUUUUCGGAUCGUAAAGCUCUGUUGUAAGAGAAGAACGGGUGUGAGAGUGGAAAGUUCACACUGUGACGGUAUCUUACCAGAAAGAGACGGCUAACUACGUG
RNAcentral lists this ribosomal RNA (505 nucleotides) under uncultured bacterium. RNAcentral describes it as "partial 16S ribosomal RNA". It matches the Rfam family "Bacterial small subunit ribosomal RNA", at positions 28 to 507 of the family's 1533-position model. The record is from RNAcentral.